GACGAACGCUGGCGGCGUGCUUAACACAUGCAAGUCGAACGGAAAGGCCCUGCUUUUGUUGGGUGGACGAGUGGCGAACGGGUGAGUAACACGUGAGUAACCUGCCCCUGUCUUUGGGAUAACUCCAGGAAACUGGGGCUAAUACCGGAUAUGAGCUCCUGCUCCAUGGGGGGGGUUGGAAAAUGGCGGCGGUGGUGGAUGGUCUCGCGGCUUACCAGCUUGUUGGUGGAGUAGUGGUUUACCAAGGGUUCGACGGAUAGCCGGCAUGGGAGGGUGGCCAGCGACAUUGGGACUAAGAUACGGCGCAGUGUCGUAGGGGAGGCAAAGGUAGAAAGUGUGGCAGAAUGGGGGGGCGCCGGAGGCGGAGGCGCCGGGUGCGGGAGGAUGGGCUUCGGGUUGUAAACCGCUUUAGCCGGAACCAUGGCGGGAGUGACGGUAAUGGGUAAAGAAGCACCGGCUAACUACGUG
RNAcentral lists this ribosomal RNA (468 nucleotides) under uncultured bacterium. RNAcentral describes it as "partial 16S ribosomal RNA". It matches the Rfam family "Bacterial small subunit ribosomal RNA", at positions 28 to 507 of the family's 1533-position model. The record is from RNAcentral.